Orcinus orca (killer whale) is the source of this 2252-nucleotide long non-coding RNA. RefSeq lists it as uncharacterized. The record is from RefSeq and is a predicted model, not a curated record. The transcript has 2 exons. NCBI's taxonomy places the organism in Eukaryota, Metazoa, Chordata, Mammalia, Artiodactyla, Delphinidae.
ACCCUAUGUGCGGCGGCUGCGCGCUCUGCGCUGUGCGACCCGCCCUUCUUGUCGUGCUCGCACUGCCCUACCCGCGCCUGCGCGCCGGAUGCUGGACCAGAACCGGCGGAGCUGCAGUGACCAUAACUUCGGCAAAGACUGAAACCAGGACCCCCACCAGACGGAAACUGCAGACUGCAAAUGCUAGACCAUAGACUGGCUGGAGCCAGAGAUUCGAUGAUUGAGAUUCCUGAAACUUCACCCAGUUACCUCACCACUAACCAAUCAGAAGAAUGUCCAGGAGCUGAUCACACACCCUGGGACCCUCACCCUUAAUGUUGCACUGAAAGCCAUUGGGGAAUAUGAGUCUUUUGAACACUAGCUCCCCAUCCUCCUUGUUUGUCACCCUGCAAUAAACGCUGUACUUUCCUUCACCACAACCCAGCAUCAGUAGAUUAGCAUUCCGCAAUAUUGGCAGAAUCGAGCAGUUGCAAAAAGAGACCAUAUGGCUCUCAAAGUCUGAAAUAUUAUUUGGCCAGGCAAAACUAUAAAAAAAAAAAAGAUAACUAAGUGAAAAAAUAUAUAAUCUGGGCCUUUACAGAAAAAGUUUGUGGUGUACUGAUCUAAUCCAUAAUUGCCAACCUGCAGUUCCCCCAGCCUCACCACACUCCUGCUCCAGGGCAAAAGUCAGGAAGGAGCAAACUUAGGAUGCACUUCCUGCUUAUGAGCACCAGUCCUGGUCCUAUUUUAGAAAGCUGUAUUAUCCUGCCAGCUUCAAAAACUAAGAAGAAAUUCCCCCAAUAUGCAUCCUGAACAAAGAUCCCAAAACAGGAGAGAGGGAGGUGCUCUGCUUUCCACAUUUCACAAUGAAGGAGCUGUGGCAUCACAGUUCUCCACCCCCAGCAUCCUGUGUCUCCGCUUUUGAGCUUCUAUUUCCUCUGAUGGAAAAACGCUUCCUUCCCUCUUUGCUGGGCUAACCAUUUCAAGAAUCAGUUCAGACAUGACUGAUGCCUUCCUUCGUCUCUCACAGAUCCUCUCCUUAGAGGUUCCUGGUUCCUUCAAGCUCUCAUUACAUCCUGGCUUGACCUCUAACAUGGUCCCUACCAUAUGACAUUCAAAUUAUUAGUAGAUGAGUUUCCCUAACAUGACCAUGAGCUCUUCAAGGACAGGGCAGGGCCCAAGGGCAAGGACCAUGUCUCAGUCAUUUUGGAAUUCACAGCAUGCAUGGCAGUGCUGAGCACACAGUGGGCACUCAGUAUAUACCACUUAUUGAACGGCACUGAACACUGGUGGAUUAGUCAGCUCAGGCUGCCAUAACAAAAUACCACAGACUGGCUGCUGGCUGCUGUGUGGUUUAAACAAUGGAAAUUUAUUUUCUGGAGGCUAGAAAUCCAAGAUCGAGGUGCCAACAAGGUUGGUUUCUACUGAGGCCUCUCUCCUUGGCUUGCAGAUGGCUACCUUCUGGCUGUGUCUUCACAUGGCCUUUUCCUCUGGGCUCUCAUGGAGAGACAGAUCUGGUAUAUCAUCCACUUUCUUUUUCCCCACAUCUCUUUAGCAUAUACUAAAUUCUCACAAAUAUUUAUUUCUAUCUCUGAGCUCCCUAGUCUGAUGCAUAAAUUUGUCCAUUUAAUGUACCGCACUGUUUGAAUUAUUGUAGUUUUAUAUUAGCUUUUAAUAUCUAGUAGAGUUAGUCCCACCUCACUGCCUUCUUCAGAAAUUUCCUGGCUGUCCAAGCUUGUUCAUUUUUCAUGUGAACUUUAAAACCAGCUUAUUCCAUAUCCUCUUCCACCAAAUCUUGGUGAUUUUAUUCAUCAUGUUAAAUUUAUAGAUUAGUUUAAGGGCAUUUAUAUCUUAUGAUCCAAGUUCAUGGCAUGCCUUUAUAUUUGUUCAAGUUUAUUUUUUAUCCUUUAGUAAUAUUUUAGUUUUCUUCAAUAAGUAUUUCACAUUCUUGUUUUGUUGGUAACUAGGUUUUUUCUUUUUUUCCUUUUUUGUUUCUAAUGUAAAUGGGAGUUCCCCAUCUGCAUACCUGUUAACUGCUUGUUGUUUGUAUACAUGAAGAUUUUUGAUUCUGUACAUUUAUUUUGUACCCAGACAUUGUAUGAAAUUCUCUUAUUGUUUGUAAUAUAAUUUAUUUGGGUGCUCUAGAUGUGUAAUCAUAUUGUCUGAAUAUAAUGAUAACUUUACCUUCUUUCCUAUUUUAUAUCUGUUAAUUUCCUUUUGAAUACUUGCUUGGGCUAAUACCUCAAGAACAAUAUUAAAUGAUAGUGACAAUA